RNAcentral lists this ribosomal RNA (490 nucleotides) under uncultured bacterium. Its description in RNAcentral is "partial 16S ribosomal RNA". It matches the Rfam family "Bacterial small subunit ribosomal RNA", at positions 30 to 507 of the family's 1533-position model. The record is from RNAcentral.
AUUGAACGCUGGCGGCAGGCCUAACACAUGCAAGUCGAACGGUAACAGGAAGAAGCUUGCUUCUUUGCUGACGAGUGGCGGACGGGUGAGUCAUGUCUGGGAAACUGCCUGAUGGAGGGGGAUAACUACUGGAAACGGUAGCUAAUACCGCAUAAUGUCGCAAGACCAAAGAGGGGGACCUUCGGGCCUCCUGCCAUCGGCUGUGCCCAGAUGGGAUUAGCUAGUAGGUGGGGUAACGGCUCACCUAGGCGACGAUCCCUAGCUGGUCUGAGAGGAUGACCAGCCACACUGGAACUGAGACACGGUCCAGACUCCUACGGGAGGCAGCAGUGGGGAAUAUUGCACAAUGGGCGCAAGCCUGAUGCAGCUAUGCCGCGUGUAUGAAGAAGGCCUUCGGGUUGUAAAGUACUUUCAGCGGGGAGGAAGGGAGUAAAGUUAAUACCUUUGCUCAUUGACGUUACCCGCAGAAGAAGCACCGGCUAACUCCGUG